UGCAACAUAAGACAUCUUAAGGAUUUUUAUGUUGAUUAGAAAUUGACAUUUGGAUACACUUUGUGAAACAAAAUAUAUCAAUAAUGUAACUUGCUUCUUUUGAUAUUUUAAGGUAGAUACUAAAAUUCUAAAUAAUGUGGCUCAUAUUAUAUUUUUAUCAAGCAGCAAUGCUAUAGAUUACACUUUCAAACCAAGGCAGAAACACAUCUGAUGGGGAUUCUCCCCCUUAAUAGUAAGCUUUCUUCUGGUUUUUUUUUUUUUUUUGUCCUUUUCCUUUUUAUCGGUACUGGGGAUCGAACUCAUGACUGCCUGCUUGCAAGGCAGGUGCUUAUGCCGCUGACUAAAUCCCCAGCCCUGCUUUCUUCUGUUUGUAACAAGUAGAUUUCCGCUAGAGGAAGACUAUAAAAUGGUUUCUUUUUCACUUGUGGAAGUAUCACCUCUUCCUCACACUUGGGGCACAAGAUUCCUGGAGAAGAGAUGAACAAGUUGAGCUUAGAGUGUUUCUUCCAAAGACUCUGAGAAUCCAUGAAAAAAAUGAGCAGAAGAUAUAAAUGGGCUUUCACAGAAAUGCAGGAAACAACCUGUAUAUUAAAAAAUGCAACCAGGCAGGCAUGGUCGGUAUUCCUGUAAUCCCAGCACUCAGGAGGCUGAGGCAGGAGGAUCCUUGAGAAUGUGACAUCAGCCUGGGUUACAAAUGAGCUCAAGGUCAGCCUUAAAUGCAUAGCAAGAUUAUGUCUCAAAAAGAUAAAACAGUAAAUAAAAAAUAUGUCAUAAAUUAUAUGUCAUCUUUCAGGCACAAAUAUACCUGCCACUUAAAGGGAACCAAGUAGCUCAGUAGUACAGUGCGUCUCCCCAGAAAAAGGUUCAACCCCAGCACCACACGCACACACACAAAUACACAGUAAAACUACUGCCAACUAGUGGAACAGGAGUGAAACGUUUCUGAAUAUUGGAAACCUUCAGAAAGAAUUUUAAAUCUUAUGUGACUUAGGAAGAAAAAUUUUAAGAUCUCAAAGAAUUCUACAUUCUAAUUGUAAGUUUCUUCAGUUUUGUUUUGUGUGGAGGGGAGCAGAGACAGGGUCUUGCUGUGUGGUCUUAAACUCUCAGCUCUCUCUUGCAUCAGUUUCCCGAGUGUUGGGAUUAAAGGUACUGUACCAUCCCACUUGGCUGUGUUUCUCAAUUUUUGAUCCACUUAAAGGAAUACUGAAAACCCCAAGACAUACUGUAAGUUUGUUUCAUGUAAGAACAAACCCUGGCUGGGGUUACAGCUCAGUGGUAGAGUGCUUGCCUACUGUGCCAGAAAACCUGGGUUCAAUCCUCAGCACUAUGAAAAGAAUUUUUUUUUUUCAAAUAGGAAUAAGCAGACCCUAACUUGCAAAUCCAUUUCAGGUGGGAGCCCUGAGGAUUCAGCUUACCUAUCAGAUGCUAAGCAAGUGAGUAAAUGUCGGUGUCAUGGUUUAUGUCUGUGGCCCCCAGGCCUCAUGAGUUUGCAUUGUGCAUUUGUGAUGGUUCAUGGUCUAGUGCUUGGAGAUGGUGUCAGUGCUCCACCCACAUAGGGGUGGAGCCAGGAUGUGAUGUACUGGCAGGAAGAAGGUGUGUGUUGUUCUUUGCUGGUUUCUGCUUGCUGUUUGCAGCCGCCAUGAACUGUGGCCCACGCAUACCCGCCUGCCUUGAAGCCAACUGAGUGUGGACUGAAACCUCCAAAAACUGAUAUCACGCAUACAGCACUGAGAGUGCCAGCUGGGCAUCUCACCUACUUCCUCAGACUAUUCCCUUGUAAAUAAGGGGAUCGAACUCACGAUGUCACACUUGCCAGACAGGCGCUUAUACCACUGAGCUAAAUCCCUGGCUUGUAAAUUAUAAUUCAAAUAAAAAUAUAUACAUGA
Molecule: long non-coding RNA, 1886 nt
Organism: Cavia porcellus (domestic guinea pig)
Lineage: Eukaryota; Metazoa; Chordata; Mammalia; Rodentia; Caviidae
Exons: 3
Source: RefSeq, a predicted model, not a curated record